RNAcentral lists this ribosomal RNA (496 nucleotides) under uncultured bacterium. RNAcentral's name for it is "partial 16S ribosomal RNA". It matches the Rfam family "Bacterial small subunit ribosomal RNA", at positions 899 to 1397 of the family's 1533-position model. The record is from RNAcentral.
ACUCAAAUGAAUUGACGGGGACCCGCACAAGCGGUGGAGCAUGUUGUUUAAUUCGAAGCAACGCGAAGAACCUUACCUACGCUUGACAUCCUGUGCUAUAUCCAGAGAUGGAUAGUUCCCUUCGGGGACGCAGUGACAGGUGCUGCAUGGCUGUCGUCAGCUCGUGUCGUGAGAUGUUGGGUUAAGUCCCGCAACGAGCGCAACCCUUAUCGUCUGUUGCCAUCAUUUAGUUGGGAACUCUGACGAGACUGCCGGUGACAAGCCGGAGGAAGGUGGGGACGACGUCAAGUCAUCAUGGCCCUUACGCGUAGGGCUACAAACGUGCUACAAUGGUAGUGACAGUGGGCAGCUAGGCCGCGAGGCCAAGCGAAUCCCUAAAAACUAUCUCAGUUCGGAUUGUACUCUGCAACUCGAGUGCAUGAAGCUGGAAUCGCUAGUAAUCGUGGAUCAGCAUGCCACGGUGAAUACGUUCCCGGGUCUUGUACACACCGCCCGU